GGCCUCCUGAUUUUUCUCCCCUGUGGGAUCCUUUUGGCUGAGACCCUUCAAAGCCUGCACCCCUCAGCCACAGUGCACCACUCCGAGUGACCUGGUCCUGCCUGUGUGCGUGGGAGCCCUGCAGGAGCUGGUGCCGCACUGCGCUCAUUGUCGUCUGGAAUUGCAGCUCGGAAUGGCCUGGUGGCUUUGGCCGUUCAGACCCCAGCUGGUGCUGGGGUGCUGGGCUGCCUGCCGAGAUAGGAUCCCAGGCAGAAGAAGAAAAGGCCAAAUAAACUUCAAGACACGCUGCCUCAGUCCAUGCAGUGAGCUGUGUUUUGCAGUUUUCAGAUACUCUUAAAUAAAAGUAAAAGUAAAAGUGCUUUAAUUAUGCCCUUGUUUGUGGUUCAGUUGCAUUAAGCCAACUUGAGAAUAUCACUCACUUUCCUGCUGCUGCAAAGUGAAGGCAAAUUUUGCUCCUUUUCCUUUGUAGGUUGCAUGAAUGGACUCAUUACAUCAAUACUUCUGGAACUCCACAGUCCCCUGCCUCAGAGCCGGGUGGCAGUGUCAUCUGAACAGGGCGUGGUUCCGGGACUGGCCUCUUGAAUCAGGGUGGGCUCCUGACUCUCAUAGCAUCUCAGUGUGUGUGUGGUUGGCCCUUGUAGACAGACGUGCUCUUGCUGUUUGCUUUUCGCUACUCAGUUACAGUUGUGCCCUUCCAUAGAUGACAUAUGCAUACCUGUGAGGAGUUGAGCAGAACUCGGCUGUUUAGUGUGACGUGGUCAUAACACUGCCUGCAUUCCAGUCCACCUCCUACUGGAUGGCCUUAGGCAUAAGAAAUCUCAAUGUCUUUAUCUGCAGAAUGGGGU
Long non-coding RNA from Manis pentadactyla (Chinese pangolin), 845 nucleotides. RefSeq lists it as uncharacterized. The transcript has 3 exons. The record is from RefSeq and is a predicted model, not a curated record. NCBI's taxonomy places the organism in Eukaryota, Metazoa, Chordata, Mammalia, Pholidota, Manidae.